RNAcentral lists this long non-coding RNA (3766 nucleotides) under Homo sapiens (human). RNAcentral's name for it is "novel transcript". The record is from RNAcentral. Lineage: Eukaryota; Metazoa; Chordata; Mammalia; Primates; Hominidae.
GAGAUGAAGUGUUGCUGUGUCGCCCAGGCUGGAGUACAGUGGCACGGUCUGGGCUCACUGCAAGCUCCGCCUCCCAGGUUCAAGCCAUUCUCCUGCCUCAGCCUCCCAAGUAGCUGGAAUUACAGGCACCCACUACCACGCCCUGCUAAUUUUUUGUAUUUUUAGUAGAGACGGGGUUUCACCAUGCUGGCCAGGCGUGCUGGUAGGUACCUGUAAUCCCAGCUACUUGGGAGGCUGAGGCAGGAGAAUUGCUUGAACCCAGGAGGUGGAGGUAGCAGUGAGCAGAGAUCGUGCCAGUGCACUCCAGCCUAGGCAACAGAGUGAGACUCUGUCUCAAAAAACCCACAAAAAUAAAUACAAAUAAAAAAUAAAAAUAAAUACCUGACAUGGCUAUUUAUUAGCGUGCUUGAAAACCAGUCCUGCAUAGAGCUACACAUGCAUAAAAAUUAUUUGGGAGAAUACACAAUAAAAUGUUAACAAUUACUAUCUCUAAGUGGUGCGAUUAUGGAUGAUUUUUUCACUUUUCUUCUUUAUUUAGUCAUACCUUUCUAUAUUUUCAUAUGCUUCUUUUCUUUUUGAGACAGAGUCCCAUGCUGUUGCCCAGGCUGGAGUACAGUGGCAUGAAUCUCGGCUCACUGCAACCUCUGCCUCCCGGGUUCAGGCGAUUCUACUGCCUCAGCCUCCCAAGUAGUUGGGAUUACAGGCGUGCGCCACCAGGCCUGGCUGAUUUUUGUAUUUUUAGUAGAGACAGGGUUUCACCAUGUUAGCCAGGCUGGUCUCAAACUCCUAAACUCAAGUGAUCUGCCUGCCUCAGCCUCCCAAAGUGCUGGGAUUACAGGCUUGAGCCACCAUGCCUGGCCCUGAUGGGUUUCUUUUAUCUUUUAUACAAAAUUGAAAGCAUACUAUGGUGUUUGACUAGUUUUUCCUUAAUAUUCAAACAAGAUAAUAUAUUAUCUUUCUUUGAAAAUAUUAUCAUCAAUGGGCACCUAAUUAUAAUAUGAGGAUCUAUCAUAACUUAUUUCUUCCCAUAUUUCUUCCAAUAUACAUAUUGGAAACAAGGGGUUUUUUUGUGGCUUAUAAAUUACCUUUUGAAAAACAUCCUUUUAUGAAAGUCAUCUCUGCUUUGGGAUAGUUUUCUAGGAGUACAUUUUUAAGUCAUCAAGUUUUUAAACUUUUUUUUUUUUGAGACAAGGUCUCACUAUAUUGCCCAGGCUGGAUUUGAACUCUGAGGCUCAAGUGAUUCUCUUGCCUCAACCUACCCAGUAGCUGGCACUACAGGUGUGCAUUACCAUACCUGGUUAUGACCGGUUUUUAAUGACUCUUGAAAUGUAUUACCAAAUUGCUUUCCAGAGAGGCUCUCCCAAUAAUGUCAAAUCUUAUCUAGUCUUACAGUUGCAAAUUGAUAGUAGUAUAGUUUUAAAAAAUUAUCCAUUUUCUAGUUUUAAUUUAUAUUUGAGAAAUAGUUUCAUUGGAUAAUUUUUAUGUGUAUUGGCCAUAUAAAUGGCAUUUUGAUGGCAAAUGCUAUAAUAGCACUAUACUAAUGACUAUUAUCCAACAAAUCAAUUAUGGGCCAGAAGUUUUAAUAACAGUAAGUUUUUAAGGAAAAACUUUAUGACUUUUAUUUCUAUUAAAAUUUUUUUUAAAAAAACCACACUUUUUCGAAUUGACUCAAGACAUUAAAAAAAGAAAUUUUUUUCCCCAAAAUUGUAAUAAAUAGCCUUCUAUCAGUCCACAAGAUGGGAGUAUUCUGAUCUUACAAUAUUUUAGCUUCAGUUGCUAAAAGUGGCAGUUUUUAGUUUUCAUAUUAAGCUUGUAUCAGAUCCCUUCUGCAAAGUCAUUAAGAAAAAAAUAAUUAUAUUCAAUUUAUAGCUCAUAAUAGUUUCCAUUCACAUGUUUGUAAGUUCACAGUCAAAAGGACUUUCUACUUCUAUGGAAUAUUUUUCAUGCAGUUAAUAUGUGGUAGCAUCAGGUAACUGCAGUACAUGUUUACUUUAAAAAAAUAAUAAUAACUUUGGCCAGGCACGGUGGCUCACAUCUGUAAUCCCAGCACUUUAGGAGGCCAAGGCCGGUGGAUAGGUUGAGCCCAGGAGUCCAAGACCAGCUGGGGCCACGUGGCGAAAACCUGUCUCUACUAAAAAUCCAAAAAUUAGUCAGGUGUGGUAGUGCACAUCUGUAGUCCUAGCUACUCACAAGGCUGUGGUGGGAGGAUUGAUUGAGCCUGGGAGGUUGAGGCUGCAGUGAGCUGCAAUCAUGCCAAUGCACUCCAGCCUGAGGGACAGAGGGAGACCCUGUCUCAAAGCAAAACGAAACAAAAAAGCACACACACAAAGAAACCCCUAAAAAACUAAAAAAACUUAGCUGGACAUGAUGGUGUGUGCCUAUAGUUCCAGCUACUCACAGGCUAAGGCUGGAGGAUCGCUUGAGCUCAGGAGUUUGAGGCUGCAGUGAGCUGUGAUGGCGCCACUGCACUAUAGUCUAGGUGACAGAGCAAGACCCUGUCUCUUAAAAAAAAAAUUAACUUUUAUGCUUAGGCUUACAUGCUUUAAUAAACAGUGACUUAGAAAUAUCAGGGGAACAGGCCGGGUGCAGUGGCUCAUGCCUGUAAUCCCAGCACUUUGGGAGGCUGAGGCGGGCAGAUCACGAGGUCAGGAGUUCAAGACCAGCCUGGCCAACAUAGUGAAACCCCGUCUCUACUAAAAAUACAAAAAUUAGCUGGGCAUGAUGGUGGGCGCCUGUAGUCCCAGCUACUUGGGAGGCUGAGGCAGGAGAAUCCCUUGAACCCAGGAGGUGGAGGUUGCAGUGAGCCGAGAUUGUGCCACUGCACUCUAGCCUGGGUGACACAGCGAGACUGUCUCAGAAAAAAAAAAGAAAGAAGUAUCAGGGGAACAAACUUGUGAAAGAAACAGACAUACGUGAACCUUUCUCAUCAAACCUUAACAGCUAUCAAUCACCAUUUAUAUAAAACUGGUACCAUCUCCAAUCUCAAGUGUUCUUUUCCACAUUUCUGGAAAUUUUACCUUAGAAUCACUAGUUCUUUGGUUGGCCUUUCUAUUUCUACUUCAUGUGGGCUACUAAUCCUGGUUAAAACUCUUAUAUGUACGGUAAUGGAAUCAACGGCUUCGACUGUCUUUUUUUUAGCAAGCCCUGAUCAACUAGGAAUACGACCACUUACAAUUGGCUACUCUCUUUUCUCUUAUUCAACAAAAGCAAAAACCAGGAGGCAUGUGUAGCUGACCUUACACAGCAACCAACUUUCCAACACUCUCAUCAGCAGGAGGUCGUUCUUUAAACUCUCUUAAAAUAAUUUCAUACUUAGUAGCACUAUCCAAGUGUCACUGGACCCAAUCACUAUAAUUCAUUCUCCUUAGCACUGUCCAACAAUCUCUAAUUUUACAAAAAUACUCAAGAGUGCAUCAGAGGCCAGGCGCCUCUGAUACGGGCUCACGCCUGUAAUCCCAGCACUUUGGGAGGCUGAGGCAGGCGGAUCACCUGAGGUCGGGAGUUCGAGACCAGCCUGACCAACCUGGAGAAACCCCGUCUCUACUAAAAAUACAAAAUUAGUCAGGCGUGGUGGCGCAUGCCUGUAAUCCCAGCUAAUCGGGAGGCUGAGGCAGGAGAAUCGCUUGAACCUAGGAGGCAGAGGUUGCAGUGAGCCGAGAUUGUGCCACUGCAUUCCAGCCUGGGUAACAAGAGCGAAACUCCGUCUCAAAAAAAAAAAGAAAAAAAAGUGCAUCAGAAAGAGCUUUUAGGAAGAUCCUUUUUAUUC